Molecule: non-coding RNA, 249 nt
Organism: Arachis ipaensis
Lineage: Eukaryota; Viridiplantae; Streptophyta; Magnoliopsida; Fabales; Fabaceae
Source: RefSeq, a predicted model, not a curated record
AUGUUAAUUUGUACACAAAAUUGGCUCCGAAACUCUCCAAAACUUAUCCUUGAGGAACUCAUCGAGGAAUUGGAGAAGUUGGAAUUAGAAGUUGCACCCACUCCUGAUCCUAAUGAAGAAGAUUCUGGUGUUGAGUCUGAUUGAGUACAUCUUGUUAUGGUUGGUUUGCAUUAAGAAGUUUAGCUGUUUUGUUAGAGAAGAUACAAUAAUUUUGCUAUCUUUUAAUGGCAAUUUAUUUUUAUUUUUAGU